Molecule: RNA transcript, 2133 nt
Organism: Passer montanus (Eurasian tree sparrow)
Lineage: Eukaryota; Metazoa; Chordata; Aves; Passeriformes; Passeridae
Gene: TPP1
Gene name: tripeptidyl peptidase 1
Exons: 16
Source: RefSeq, a predicted model, not a curated record
UCCCCACGUGGAGGGAGUCACGCGCCCGCAGCACACGUGACCGGGCGGCACGGCGGCAUGGCGCGGGGGUGUCGGGGGAUCCCCGCCGUGCUGGCGCUGUGUGCGGCCGCCUGGAGCUGCGCCGCGGGGCUGCUGCUGGAGCGGGAUCAGCCGUUCCGCGUGCCCCCCGGCUGGGCCCACGCCGGCCGUGUGGAUGCCGGGCAGCCGGUGCAGCUGACCUUCGCCCUGCGGCAGCGCGGCGCUGCCCAGCUCGCCCGCCUGGUCCAGGCCGUCUCGGACCCCCGGUCCCCGCGAUACGGGCAGUACCUGUCCCUGGAGCAGCUCAGGGACUUGGUCCAGCCUUCCCCGGCCACACUGAUGACAGUUCUGAAGUGGCUGCAAGACCACGGUGUAGAGGACUGCCGGAGUGUCACCACCCUUGACUUCCUGGAGUGUUACCUGCCUGCAAGCACGGCCGAGCGCCUGCUCCCCGGGGCCGAGUUCCACCGGUACGUGCAGGGCCAGCGCAGCCUGGUGCGGUCCCCGCUGCCCUACACUGUCCCUGCAGAGCUCGCCGAGCACCUGGACUUCGUGGGUGGGAUGCACCGGUUCCCCACGGAGCGCAAGGCAGGCAGCAGAGCCAGGCCCAGGAAGGACCCGCAGCUGGCACGAGCGUCGUUCCACCUGGGCGUGACCCCGGCCGUCCUGCGCCAGAGAUACAACAUGACGGGGGGGGACGUGGGGCUCCUGCCCAACAACAGCCAGGCCUGUGCACAGUUUCUGGAGCAGUACUUCCACCAAGCUGACCUGGCUGAGUUCAUGCAGCUCUUUGGCAGCGGCUUUGCCCACCGCACGCAGGUGGACCGGGUGGUGGGACAUCAGGGCCAUGGCAAAGCCGGGCUGGAGGCCAGCCUGGACGUGGAGUACAUCAUGAGCACAGGUGCCAAUGUCUCCACCUGGGUCUUCAGCAACGCAGGGCGGCACGAGAGCCAGGAGCCCUUCUUGGCCUGGCUGCUGCUGCUCAGCAACAUGUCAGCGGUGCCCUGGGUGCACUCGGUGAGCUACGGGGACGACGAGGACAGCCUGUCCUCCGCCUACAUGGAGCGCGUCAACACCGAGCUGAUGAAGGCGGCGGCCCGCGGCCUCACCAUCCUGUUUGCCUCAGGUGACGAUGGAGCUGGCUGUCGGCGGGAGCACAGCGGGAACCACACGUUCCGGCCCAGCUUCCCGGCCUCCAGCCCCUACGUCACCACUGUGGGUGGCACGUCCUUCAAGAACCCCUUCCUGGUGACAGAGGAGGUGACAGAUUACAUCAGCGGCGGCGGCUUCAGCAACGUCUUCCCCAUGCCUGAGUACCAGGCCGCUGCUGUCAGGCGUUUCCUGCGCUCAGCCUCGAAGCUGCCGCCCAGCUCCUACUACAACAGCAGCGGCCGCGCCUACCCCGACCUGGCUGCGCUCUCCGACAACUACUGGGUGGUGACAAACCGCAUCCCGCUGCCCUGGGUCUCGGGGACCUCGGCGUCCACGCCGGUGGUGGCAGGCAUGGUGGCACUGAUCAACGACCGGCGCCUGCAGCGGGGGCUGGCACCCCUGGGCUUCCUCAACCCUGCGCUCUACCAGCUGCAGAAGCAAGGGCACGGGGAUGCAUUCUACGAUUGCCGGUGUCCGCGGCCGUGGCCGCCGCCCCGGACGGGGCCAUGUCCAACGGCGUGUACGUGCCGCCCGCCGCCAACGGCGACGUGAAGCCCGUGGUGUCCACCACGCCGCUCGUGGACUUCCUCAUGCAGCUCGAGGACUACACGCCCACGAUCCCGGACGCCGUCACGGGGUAUUACCUGAACCGGGCAGGGUUUGAGGCCUCGGACCCGCGCAUCAUCCGCCUGAUCUCGCUGGCGGCACAGAAGUUCAUCUCAGACAUCGCCAACGACGCCCUGCAGCACUGCAAAAUGAAGGGCACGGCCUCGGGCAGCUCCCGCAGCAAGAGCAAGGACAAGAAGUACACGCUGACCAUGGAGGACCUGACGCCGGCGCUGGCCGAGUACGGCAUCAACGUGAAGAAGCCACAUUACUUCACGUAGAGCACGGGGAGCUUGGGCAGUUUGUAGGGGUUGUGGUGGUGCCAUUAAACACCUCGCAGGGUUUUGUGGGAAGGCA